This 683-nucleotide long non-coding RNA is filed under the name Nicotiana benthamiana. RNAcentral describes it as "long non-coding RNA (NBEN_LNC033933)". The record is from RNAcentral. Lineage: Eukaryota; Viridiplantae; Streptophyta; Magnoliopsida; Solanales; Solanaceae.
AUUAAAACAGGCUUCAUCACACAAGUAAAUAAAGAAUUGACAAUUAAAAGUACACUAAGAUUAAAAAUAUAUUAAAAAAAACUAUUGGCUCCAAGAGAGCCUAAAUAAUGGAUCUUCUUAUACAUAAGAGUCACUACAAUGUACAAAAAGCUAUAUCUAACAAAGUAUAAAGCACAUAACUCUAUAUUUUGCCCUACACUUCACAAGGGCAUCUUCAUAAUGCCAGGAAGGUCAUUGCACCUCUUGAGCCAGACAGAAAACUUGUACAACUCGGGAUUCUUACUGAUGAGAUUUUCCAUAUUUUGCUCCCUCCAGCACUAUAGAGAUGACAAGAAGCAUGUGUUAUUUGCAGCACACUUUCUUUCUCGGUGGCCUACUAGGAAGCUGGCCUUUCUAUGUCUAAACUACAUCACCAUUGCCACAAUCAAGUCAUCUGAUGCUGCAACCCACUUUAGGACAUUUGCACAUUGAGAGAGUACAAUUACAGCACAUCACCAUUGCCACAAUCAAGUCAACUGAUACUGCAAUCCUCUUUUGGUCAUUCGCGCAUUGAGAGAGUACAAUUACAGGUAAAAUGAGCAUCAAGCUCCUGUUUCCUUCUAUCAGCAGCCUGAAACGCGUAUCAAGCUCCAGCCCCAUUGCUUAGUUUGAGGGUCAUCUUGAUGUUCAUGGCUGCCAGUUCA